GAUGAACGCUGGCGGCGUGCCUAAUACAUGCAAGUCGAGCGAACGGACGAGAAGCUUGCUUUUCUGAUGUUAGCGGCGGACGGGUGAGUAACACGUGGAUAACCUACCUAUAAGACUGGGAUAACUUCGGGAAACCGGAGCUAAUACCGGAUAAUAUUUUGAACCGCAUGGUUCAUAAGUGAAAGACGGUCUUGCUGUCACUUAUAGAUGGAUCCGCGCUGCAUUAGCUAGUUGGUAAGGUAACGGCUUACCAAGGCAACGAUGCAUAGCCGACCUGAGAGGGUGAUCGGCCACACUGGAACUGAGACACGGUCCAGACUCCUACGGGAGGCAGCAGUAGUGAAUCUUCCGCAAUGGGCGAAAGCCUGACGGAGCAACGCCGCGUGAGUGAUGAAGGUCUUCGGAUCGUAAAACUCUGUUAUUAGGGAAGAACAUAUGUGUAAGUAACUGUGCACAUCUUGACGGUACCUAAUCAGAAAGCCACGGCUAACUACGUG
RNAcentral lists this ribosomal RNA (497 nucleotides) under uncultured bacterium. RNAcentral's name for it is "partial 16S ribosomal RNA". It matches the Rfam family "Bacterial small subunit ribosomal RNA", at positions 28 to 507 of the family's 1533-position model. The record is from RNAcentral.